AAUAAGUACAGUUUUAGCAUUGUUCAUGUCCAACGUUUGACCGUUUGUCUUAUUUGAAAAAAGAUUAUGAUUAGUAUUUUUAUUGUUAUUAGAUGAUAAAACAUGAAUAGUAUUUUAUGUGUGACUAUUUUUUAAAUAUUUUUUACAAUUUUUUAAAUAAGAUGGAUAAUUAAAACGCUCAUCACGUAUAUUUAUGGCUGCACUUAUU
Molecule: microRNA precursor, 208 nt
Organism: Oryza sativa Indica Group (long-grained rice)
Lineage: Eukaryota; Viridiplantae; Streptophyta; Magnoliopsida; Poales; Poaceae
Rfam family: MIR812 microRNA precursor family
Source: Rfam